AACGUAGGACACGAGCGUUAUCCGGAGUUACUGGGCGUAAAGGGCGCGUAGGCGGCGUGUCAAGUCAGGCGUGAAAGCCCCGGGCUCAACCUGGGAACCGCGCUUGAGACUGGCAUGCUCGAGUUCGGGAGAGGAUGGUGGAAUUCCCAGUGUAGAGGUGAAAUUCGUAGAUAUUGGGAAGAACACCGAUGGCGAAGGCAGCCAUCUGGACCGACACUGACGCUGAGGCGCGAAAGCGUGGGGAGCAAACAGG
This 253-nucleotide ribosomal RNA is filed under the name uncultured bacterium. RNAcentral describes it as "partial 16S ribosomal RNA". It matches the Rfam family "Bacterial small subunit ribosomal RNA", at positions 524 to 776 of the family's 1533-position model. The record is from RNAcentral.